RNAcentral lists this ribosomal RNA (252 nucleotides) under uncultured bacterium. Its description in RNAcentral is "partial 16S ribosomal RNA". It matches the Rfam family "Bacterial small subunit ribosomal RNA", at positions 524 to 776 of the family's 1533-position model. The record is from RNAcentral.
GACGAACCGUGCGAACGUUAUUCGGAAUCACUGGGCUUAAAGGGCGCGUAGGCGGGCCGAAAAGUCAGGGGUGAAAUCCUCCAGCCCAACUGGAGAAGCGCCUUUGGUACUGUCGGCCUCGAGGGGUGCAGGGGCAUGCGGAACUCAGGGUGGAGCGGUGAAAUGCGUAGAUAUCCUGAGGAACACCGGUGGCGAAAGCGGCGUGCUGGACACCUUCUGACGCUGAGGCGCGAAAGCCAGGGAGCGAACGGG